AGAGUUUGAUCCUGGCUCAGGACGAACGCUGGCGGCGUGCUUAACACAUGCAAGUCGAACGGAAAGGCCCUUUCGGGGGUACUCGAGUGGCGAACGGGUGAGUAACACGUGGGUGAUCUGCCCUGCACUUUGGGAUAAGCCUGGGAAACUGGGUCUAAUACCGAAUACACCCUGCUGGUCGCAUGGCCUGGUAGGGGAAAGCUUUUGCGGUGUGGGAUGGGCCCGCGGCCUAUCAGCUUGUUGGUGGGGUGAUGGCCUACCAAGGCGACGACGGGUAGCCGGCCUGAGAGGGUGACCGGCCACACUGGGACUGAGAUACGGCCCAGACUCCUACGGGAGGCAGCAGUGGGGAAUAUUGCACAAUGGGCGCAAGCCUGAUGCAGCGACGCCGCGUGAGGGAUGACGGCCUUCGGGUUGUAAACCUCUUUCAGCACAGACGAAGCGCAAGUGACGGUAUGUGCAGAAGAAGGACCGGCCAACUACGUGCCAGCAGCCGCGGUAAUACGUAGGGUCCGAGCGUUGUCCGGAAUUACUGGGCGUAAAGAGCUCGUAGGUGGUUUGUCGCGUUGUUCGUGAAAACUCACAGCUUAACUGUGGGCGUGCGGGCGAUACGGGCAGACUAGAGUACUGCAGGGGAGACUGGAAUUCCUGGUGUAGCGGUGGAAUGCGCAGAUAUCAGGAGGAACACCGGUGGCGAAGGCGGGUCUCUGGGCAGUAACUGACGCUGAGGAGCGAAAGCGUGGGGAGCGAACAGGAUUAGAUACCCUGGUAGUCCACGCCGUAAACGGUGGGUACUAGGUGUGGGUUUCCUUCCUUGGGAUCCGUGCCGUAGCUAACGCAUUAAGUACCCCGCCUGGGGAGUACGGCCGCAAGGCUAAAACUCAAAGGAAUUGACGGGGGCCCGCACAAGCGGCGGAGCAUGUGGAUUAAUUCGAUGCAACGCGAAGAACCUUACCUGGGUUUGACAUGCACAGGACGCCGGCAGAGAUGUCGGUUCCCUUGUGGCCUGUGUGCAGGUGGUGCAUGGCUGUCGUCAGCUCGUGUCGUGAGAUGUUGGGUUAAGUCCCGCAACGAGCGCAACCCUUGUCUCAUGUUGCCAGCACGUUAUGGUGGGGACUCGUGAGAGACUGCCGGGGUCAACUCGGAGGAAGGUGGGGAUGACGUCAAGUCAUCAUGCCCCUUAUGUCCAGGGCUUCACACAUGCUACAAUGGCCGGUACAAAGGGCUGCGAUGCCGUGAGGUGGAGCGAAUCCUUUCAAAGCCGGUCUCAGUUCGGAUCGGGGUCUGCAACUCGACCCCGUGAAGUCGGAGUCGCUAGUAAUCGCAGAUCAGCAACGCUGCGGUGAAUACGUUCCCGGGCCUUGUACACACCGCCCGUCACGUCAUGAAAGUCGGUAACACCCGAAGCCGGUGGCCUAACCCUUGUGGAGGGAGCCGUCGAAGGUGGGAUCGGCGAUUGGGACGAAGUCGUAACAAGGUAGCCGUA
RNAcentral lists this ribosomal RNA (1486 nucleotides) under Mycolicibacterium smegmatis. RNAcentral describes it as "Mycobacterium smegmatis 16S ribosomal RNA". It matches the Rfam family "Bacterial small subunit ribosomal RNA". Lineage: Bacteria; Bacillati; Actinomycetota; Actinomycetes; Mycobacteriales; Mycobacteriaceae. The record is from RNAcentral.